UGGGGAAUAUUGCACAAUGGGCGGAAGCCUGAUGCAGCGACGCCGCGUGAGGGAUGACGGCCUUCGGGUUGUAAACCUCUUUCAGCAGGGACGAAGCGCAAGUGACGGUACCUGCAGAAGAAGCGCCGGCCAACUACGUGCCAGCAGCCGCGGUAAGACGUAGGGCGCGAGCGUUGUCCGGAUUUAUUGGGCGUAAAGAGCUCGUAGGCGGCUUGUCGCGUCGAAUGUGAAAACUCGGGGCUCAACUCCGAGCUUGCAUUCGAUACGGGCAGGCUAGAGUUCGGUAGGGGAGACUGGAAUUCCUGGUGUAGCGGUGAAAUGCGCAGAUAUCAGGAGGAACACCGGUGGCGAAGGACGGGUCGUCUGGGCCGAUACUGACGCUGAGGAGCGAAAGCGUGGGGAGCGAACAGGAUUAGAUACCCUGGUAGUCCACGCUGUAAACGUUGGGCGCUAGGUGUGGGACCUCUCCGGGUUCUGCGCCGC
This 483-nucleotide ribosomal RNA is filed under the name uncultured Actinomycetes bacterium. RNAcentral's name for it is "bacterial SSU rRNA". It matches the Rfam family "Bacterial small subunit ribosomal RNA", at positions 355 to 849 of the family's 1533-position model. Lineage: Bacteria; Bacillati; Actinomycetota; Actinomycetes. The record is from RNAcentral.